AAAUUUGUGCACAUGGAUAUUUGGACUGAAAAAUCAGUGCACCUGUGCCUACAAUCAGGCAGUAAAUGGUUCAGUGGUCGCAGUAAGCGCAGGGCUCUUUUGGGAGGCAAAUUGAAACUCUAUUUAAGCAAAGUGAUUCAGAAGGAGACGUUCAAUAUAGGCUUCCCCUGGGAACAUUUCCUCCUAAGGCAAGGAAACUGAGGCUCAAAGAAAUGAAAGAACAUGGCCAAGCCUGUGUACUAUGUCAGCAGAAGAGGGAUUUGAAUGCCAGAGGCAACGCUAUUUCAGUUCAUCUUACAACGCCUUAGAAGUAGAAGGAAAGAAAGGUUCAUGGGCAAAGUCUGGCCCUGCUAUGGACUCCACGCAGCUUUACAAACAUCUGAGAAGAAAACGUUCCAUUAUCAGUUGCCUGACUGUACUGAUCUCACAAAAUAAGCAGGAAAGGAUGUUGAGAAAUGAAGUGAACGCCUGUGACCAAAUCAUCAAAGAACUAGAAGAGGGAAACUCCAGGACACAAAUACAUGUAAUGAAAGUUUGAUGGCAACAUGAUGACAUAGAAAAGAGCCCUGAACUGAAGAGCUCUGAAGAGUCCAAGGGGAGGAAACCCAAGGAGUCUUUACAGUGUUACUGGCCCAAGGGUGUGUAUUUUUAUAGAGGAAAUAGUUCCAUAGUAAUUUUAUUGAGCAGAUACCUUUUCUAGUUUUCAAAAAAGUUCUUAUAAAAAUCUGUGGAAAAGUAUCAUUGUCUAUUUUUUUUUUUUUAAGAUGGAGUCUCACUCUGUCACCCAGGCUGGAGUGCAGUGGUGCAACCUUAGCUCACUGCAACCUCCACCUCCCGGGUUCAGGCAAUUCUCUGCCUCAGCCUCCCGAGUAGCUGGGAUUACAGGUGCCCGCCACCAAACUUGGCUAAUUUUUUGUAUUUUUUUUAGUAGAGAUGGCAUUUCACCAUCUUGGCCAGGCUGGUCUUGAACUCCUGAUCUCAUGAUCCAACCGCUUUGGCCUCUCAAAGUGCUGGGAUUACAGGCAUGAGCCACUGCACCCAGCCCAUUGUCUAUUUUUUAAUUAAAAAAACCUGACCAUCAAUGGAUGAAUGAAUUUUAAAAAGGUGCUCUAUAUGCCCAAUGGAAUACUUGAGUCUUAAAAGAGAAGGAAAUCCUGUCAUUUGCAACAUGUCGUCCACAACAUGGAUGAACCUGGAGGACAUUGUGCUGAGUGAAAUAAGGUAGGCACAGAAGGACAAAUGCCAUAUGAUCUCACUUAUAUGUGGAAUCUGAAAAAGUCAAACUCCUGGAAGCAGAGAGUUGAAUGGUGGUUAUCAGAGGCUGGGGUUAUGGGAAAUGUUGGUCACAGGGCAUGAACUUUUAAUUUUUUGACAGGAGGAAUAAAUGUUUUGAGAUAUACUCCACAGCAUGAUGACUAUAGUUAAUAAUAAUGUACCUUUCAGAAUUGCUAAGAGUAAAUUUCAAAUGUUCUCAUCACAAAAAGUGAUAAGUAUUUGAGGUGAUGGAUAGUAAAUUAGAUUUAUUUAAUAAUUCUGCAUAUUAUACAUAUAUCACAACAUUACUUUGUACCCCAU
Molecule: long non-coding RNA, 1575 nt
Filed under: Homo sapiens (human)
Lineage: Eukaryota; Metazoa; Chordata; Mammalia; Primates; Hominidae
Description: HSALNT0011388
Source: RNAcentral